AUUGAACGCUGGCGGCAUGCCUUACACAUGCAAGUCGAACGGCAGCACGGGUGCUUGCACCUGGUGGCGAGUGGCGAACGGGUGAGUAAUACAUCGGAACGUACCUUAUCGUGGGGGAUAACGCAGCGAAAGUUGCGCUAAUACCGCAUACGCCCUGAGGGGGAAAGCGGGGGACCGUAAGGCCUCGCGCGAUUAGAGCGGCCGAUGUCGGAUUAGCUUGUUGGUGGGGUAAAAGCGCACCAAGGCGAUGAUCAGUAGCUGGUCUGAGAGGAGGAUCAGCCACACUGGGACGGAGACACGGCCCAGACUCCUACGGGAGGGAGCAGUGGGGAAUUUUGGACAAUGGGGGCAACCCUGAUCCAGCAAUGCCGCGUGAGUGAAGAAGGCCUUCGGGUUGUAAAGCUCUUUUGUCAGGGAAGAAACAGCAGCUCUAACACAGUCUGCGAAUGACGGUACCUGAAGAAUAAGCACCGGCUAACUACGUGCCAGCCGCCGCAGUAA
Molecule: ribosomal RNA, 501 nt
Filed under: uncultured bacterium
Lineage: Bacteria
Description: partial 16S ribosomal RNA
Rfam family: Bacterial small subunit ribosomal RNA
Source: RNAcentral